Long non-coding RNA from Nematolebias whitei (Rio pearlfish), 118 nucleotides. RefSeq lists it as uncharacterized. Lineage: Eukaryota; Metazoa; Chordata; Actinopteri; Cyprinodontiformes; Rivulidae. The record is from RefSeq and is a predicted model, not a curated record. The transcript has 3 exons.
GGAAGAAUGGGAAGAAGGUUGCGUUGGAGAAGGGGUGGGGUCCUAGUAAUUUUGAGGAGAUGAAGGAGGGAUCCCGAAAGGAUGAUGUCCGGGAUAGAUCACAUAGAGCGAAGAGUAA